RNAcentral lists this small RNA (131 nucleotides) under Pantoea eucalypti. RNAcentral describes it as "RtT sRNA". It matches the Rfam family "RtT RNA". Rfam says of the family: This family represents a bacterial cis-regulatory element known as RtT RNA. RNAcentral also lists the same sequence under 2 other names. Lineage: Bacteria; Pseudomonadati; Pseudomonadota; Gammaproteobacteria; Enterobacterales; Erwiniaceae. The record is from RNAcentral.
GCACGGGCGUUACCGUGCAGGGUGAGAACCUGCAGCAGGUUCGACUGAAUCGCCCGGUGAUUCAGGCUGAUGCGUUAGCAUCACCCGGAGGGCGAGGCCCUGGAAGGGCCGAAAUCCUGCACGACCCACCA